Molecule: transfer RNA, 71 nt
Filed under: Ictidomys tridecemlineatus (thirteen-lined ground squirrel)
Lineage: Eukaryota; Metazoa; Chordata; Mammalia; Rodentia; Sciuridae
Description: Spermophilus tridecemlineatus (thirteen-lined ground squirrel) tRNA
Rfam family: tRNA
About the family: Transfer RNA (tRNA) molecules are approximately 80 nucleotides in length. Their secondary structure includes four short double-helical elements and three loops (D, anti-codon, and T loops).
Source: Rfam by way of RNAcentral
GGGGCUGUAGCUCAGUGGUAGAGCACCUGCCUAGCAUGCGUGAGGCACUGGGUUCAACCCCCAGAACCACA